CAGCUGAUGAAAAUUGAAAAGUGAGAAAACAACCAUUGCAAAUUUGCAAUAUUGCAUAGUGCCGUGACUGCCAUCACGUAGGGCUUUCACAGCACUAACACUCCCAAGUCCCAAGUCCCAAUUCCCAAAUCGAAGCUGCUCUCUGCCUCUCCGGCCUCCGCCAGUCCGCCGCGCUCUACGUCUCCUGUCGGCUGUGUCCUGCCGUGCUGGUUCAUCGCUGCCGAGUGUCGAAGACGAAGCACCAAGAUCUCACUUGUUCAUCGCUGGUUCAUCACUGCUCAUCUCUGGCUCACUUAGUUAAAUCCAAAGCCUAAAUAAACAUUAAAGAAGAACUGCUUUCCUUCCCGCCAAAAGCACUAUCAGCAUUGUAGGCAGAAAGGGCUAGAGUCUCACGGAGGGGUCAUCGAGCUAGGUCAGAAUUCCGGUUCUAUAAAACUCCAAAACCACACCACCCUCUACUCCAAUUAUGGCUGAGGUUACAAUUUUUGAAGGCAUUAGGGCUCAAAAUCUGACCUUCACAGAGAAUUUGAGGUUGUUAGGGGUCCAGCUAUGGCAAGUACUGAAUAAUAAUCGUCGUUCACUCCUUGGCAUUGCUCAAUUCACCCUGUUAGCGGUCGGAUGGGUGAUGUUCGCAUUCUUCACCGACGACGGCAACCGGAUUGAGGGUAUUAUAAUGCCAGAGUAUGAGUAUUUUGGGGCAGCUACUUUUCUGACAUUUGCGGGAACAAUUGGAUGUUAUUGUUCUCUGUUGGUUUUGUGGCUUACUCAAAAGUUGAUACACUGCUUGAGGCAGUGUGGGUUCAACGGAUUAUCUAGUUCUGUCACUUUCGUUGCCUCUGCGAUCUUCAGCGCGUGGUAUCUGUUCUUAUCCGCUUUCUUGGGGCUUUGUGUCGUGGAGGACGUGACUUCCUUUGAUGCUAUGGUGGCGAUUACAUGGGGGCUAUUUGUUUCUAUGCUGUUUCUGGAAUUGCCGGAUGAUUUUGGGCUCACCGAUUCCUUUGUAGCUGCCAAUUUUGGCAUUGCAAUCAAAUUAUCUGCAUCACAUUCUAUCUGUCCAUCAAAAUUGUUUGCCAUGCAUCUGUCCACCGCUACCUGUUCAUUAGAAUUGUUUGCCAUGAGUCCGUCUACUGCACCGUCAACAUCUCCCGGUCUAGUAGUUCUGAAGAGGAUUGCUAUUGCCUUCACCCCAUUAUUGGCAAAGAUGGUGGUUACACGUGUCCUAGGCUUAUGGACUCACAGGCAAGAGGAAGAGCUUGUUGCUGGAUUCGCAGAUGCGAGUCCAGAAUAAGCUGCUUAGCAUGACUUGAAAGAAUAAAGAAGACAAUGAAGAAUAAAUGCUGGGGAAAAGUUACCUAUGCUGGUGGUGGCAUUUGGAUUUUGUGGAUGUUUAAGAAUAAAUAAGCAAAUCUGAUUAGCACUCUACCUCUCUCACUAAGCACCGGUUGCCUAAAUAGAUGGUGAAUGUUGAUCUGGCCAUCUCCAGCCAUGGAGUGAUUGUUAGAAUUGAAUAGGGAUAUGGCUUGUCAAGCAACAAGACCACUUGAUUGGAAAUUUGGCAUCAAAGCUGCUGCAAAACUCCAAUGGGAAAUCCAAGCAGCUGCGCCACUUCGGACCACCUCCUUGCACGGUCUUGGUUGACAAGAACACUAGCAUCAUCUGCCAGGGCAUCGCCAGCGAAAACAGAAGCUUACAAACUGAACAAGCCACCAAAUUCGGCACCAUAAUGCUAUUGUUGGAUAUUUUACUCCUAAUGGCGAGCCAAAGGCAGAAAAGAAGCUGAUGGGGGCAGGCUGCUUGGAAUGAAAGGACGCAGGGAAAGAAAAAGGAUGGAAGAUGAGUAAACGGAACAAGCUGGGAGAAAGAAGCUGUCUGCUUCAGCCAUUUGCAUCUACUACUGAGAAGUUAUAAACUCUGUGACAAUCAUUGUUUCCUUUUUGUCAUGUUUUACUCCUCAAGAACUAGAAAAAGCAAUGGAUGAAAAUUAUGGGAAAAUAGUUGAUGAGAAAGCUCAUAUUCUAAAAGUCAAGAUGGAACUAGAUGAUCAGCUAGAAUAACUCACUUCAGAAUCUGAUCAUUAAGGUCACAUGGAGCUGGAUCAGCACUUACUCUCAGAAGGAAAACCCCACAUUAUUAAUCUCUUCUCUCUUCUAAGGUCCCCUUUCCAAAAAUUUAUUGAUGAGUAGAUUAUAUGAUGCAUGCAUAAGCUUUUAAGGCUUAAACUGUGUGCUUUUUGUGCCAGGUUCUAAGAAGGUUCAAAAAAACUGAAAAUUGUCCUGUUUCUAAAAUUGACAAUCAACAGCCGAGGUACAACGUAUCUCUAAAAAUCACCGGCCGUUUCAGCUCAUCUGUUAAUAAUCCUUGGAGGUUCAAUGCCCAUGUCUCCGCAAGUUCAAUCUUAGCUUCUCCGUCCUGAAUUUGCAGCUUAUCUUCAGCAGAGCAAAACUGUGAAGAAGGAGCUGAGUAUACGCUGCAGAGCCACCCGGGAGAAGCGGCAGGGCCACUAUCAGACUUCAAGAAGCAUAAUCAGCUUGCAAGUGCCAUUUCGAAGUCGCGGCUACUUGCUCAGCGAAGGAUUUUGAUCCGCCUCUGCUCAGCUGUUGCUUCGUCGAGGGAGAUUCAUCGUGGAAUCAUUUUUUGUUCUGCUUUUUAGACUUCAGAGUGCUUCAGGUGCGGCUUUAGCAGAUUUGCAUUUGAGGAGCAGGUUGAGUGAUGUACUAAACUGGGUUUGAUCACUAUUUGUCUGUGAUGGUCUCCGAUUAUUUUGGAGUGUGUUCCAAUCACAUGCUAGGUAUGUCAUGGAGGCAUUAUGGAAGUGAUCUCCAGUCAUGAGGUUCUUGGUGAAUAGACGUCCUUAAGUAUGACACAUACUUUUUGUAAGUUCAUGCUAGCUAUGUCUUACACCUCCCGUCCUCUCUGAUCAAACGUGGUACGGAAUUGACAUGUUGAACUAAGAUGAAAUUUUGGAAGAUCAUACAUCUCAUUCUGUAUAGGGUGACCGGAGAUAUGUGGUGCUCAAUCGGAGUUGCUCGCUAGUCAAGAAAAAUUCCUCCCCUAACUUUUUAGUUAAAAUUUGGAGAAUGACUAGCUUUCUAUAGAUGUCCCAUGCCCCCAGCAUAGUUUGUAAACUUUCUUGCAUGUUUCAAUGAAGAUUGUGUUCUAUUCUGGUUCUCAGACAAUUUUAGUAGAAAAUCUAUUUGUUUUUGAUAGAUAUAUUAGUUGCAUUUUAUAUCCAGAAAUUUUCUGAAUUAA
Non-coding RNA from Coffea arabica (coffee), 3249 nucleotides. NCBI's taxonomy places the organism in Eukaryota, Viridiplantae, Streptophyta, Magnoliopsida, Gentianales, Rubiaceae. The record is from RefSeq and is a predicted model, not a curated record.